AUGUGGGACUUCAACUCAGCUUCUCCGUUGAGUCGGCUGUCUCCGGGACGCAGGCCCCACGUGGUGGGGGAAGCGAAAGGGGCAGUGUGGGGAAGUGGCCGAGGGGUCGGGUCCGGGGUGGUCUGCAGAGAGGCAGGCGGCGGUGCCCAGCCGGGAACCACGCGCUCACCCGCGGAGUCGGACGGGCCCGGCGGGGGUGGGCGAGACACUGGGAACAGCGGCCAGCUCCAGAGGGGCGAGGCGGGGCGCGCGGGGAGGGAGGGGGGCGCGGCGAACGCGCGCGUGCGCGCACGGCGGGAACAUGGCGCCCGGAACUGGCGCGCGCGCCUAGCUGGCGGGACCGUUAGCUCGAGGCGGACGCGGCCCGGACCCGGUGGAUGUGGAGCAGUCGCCGCUGCCGGCGCCCAAGCCGACCCCAGGGCCGACCCCCGCAAGGAGCUGAAGGAGGUGGGAGCCCCAGUCGCCGCGGGCGUCGGCGCCGUCAAAGAAGAUGGCCACGGAGAUAGCAGCGUGGUCAGAGUGGUAGGAGCUGGUCAUCGGCGAGAGCUGCUCCAUGUCUGGCUGCUGAGUGCUAGAGCCUGUGGCCCACUGGCUUGCCUCACUAUGGUUGGUGGUGGCGGUGACAGAGACUGCAGCACGACCAGAGUGGCUUUUCUGGCUUUGCCCACCCAGCUGCUCCAUGCCAGGAGGAGGAGGAGACACCUAGAGCCUGCGACACCACGACUUGCCUCACUGCGGGUGGGUGGCAGCGACAGAGACUGCAGUGCGCCAGAGCGUUCUAGAGUGUAUGAAGAACCAAAUGAUGUAACUGUAUGCGACCUGGCUGUAGUGGAACAAAUUUGACUCUUAAGUAUGCAGGCUCUAAUUUUCCUGUCUGGUUUUGCCCCCGCAUCACCCAACCAACCAGCAGAGAUCCUCAUUCCCAUGAAACAGAUAAAGAAACUGAGGCCCAGGGAGGCUAAGUCCUGCCAGGAUCAUUCACCUUCCAAGGUAAGGAGCCAUUUCCAGACCUGGGUUUGUGCAGCUCCAAGCUCCCCCGUCUUUCUACAAUGCUAGAUUUAGACUAUAGCAAUCUAGCAAGUGUGGCCACACAAUGGUCAAGUUGGAUUUAGAUGAUGUUCUCUAUAAAUCCAUUCUCCUCUCCCGUGUAAGCAAGGCAAAGUACUCUAGGCCAUGGGGAGUCCCUGAAGACUCGAUGAACUGCAGUGGCCACGUCAGGAGGUUGCAGGUUGACCAGAACUCACCGACACAGCAGGAGAGCAGCUUGGAACCUGCAACUCAGCCAAGACCCAGUGCCUUGGAUUGAGGGAGAAAACAUGCAGCCAUUCCUCUCUCUCUCUGUUGGCUAGAGGGGAUUCUGGCUUUUCCUGCCAGAGCCACCCCUUUCCCUCCUCCUAAAGUUGAUGGUGGUUCUUUAAGGAAAGGGAGAAGUGCACGGUGUGAUAGGGCAGGAAGAGAAGAAAACGGAGGAGAGGAGGGGACUUUCCCAUAAGCAGGCAGAAGAAAAGGCAGCUGUGGUGUGUGAUGGACAUGGAAGCAGUGGUGUCCAAUGUGGGGUCAGCCCUAGAGGAGAGACAGAGAGAGAGACAGAAAAGUGAGAGAGUCCUGACCCUUACAAUUAACAUGGGAUCUGCCUGCAAGUGCUGUUUAGGGCCAUCGCCUCUUCCUGUACUGCUAUUUUUGAGAGUGAUGCUCCUGAGCCCCAUGACCCAGUCAAAUUUGAUGUCCCCUUGAGCCAGAUUCAGUGCUGGGAGUCCAGUGUGAUCUGCCUGGAUCUUGCUGCAUUGAGAACAGGCCAGAUCUUGACACCAAUACAGGGGGCUGGAUAUGAACAGGCAACAGCUGGGUUUCUGAGUCAGAAAGACUUGGUUAAUUGCUAAUUGCUUAGGCGAGUAAUUCAAUUUUGUUCAGUCAGAUUCCUCAGCUAUAAAAUGCAGAUGACAGUACUUAUUCCUCCAGGUUGUGGGGAAAAUGGAGAUUCUGAGCACGAUGUCCAUUUCACAGAAAGGUACCAAUUUGGUGGCUUAUUUUCCUUUCUACCUUCAGAAGUAGCUAACCCUGCCACCCAAACAGACCCUUGACUCUCAAGUGGAUGGGGUCCCAUUUGCACAGGGGGAGAGCUUACAGCCUACAUUGAGUCUAUACUUACCACUUAGUGAGCAUGGUAUCCGCUCAGGGGCCUCUGUGGGCAUCCGUCUCCUCUGCGGCAUCUUUCCUCCCUACCGCUGGGCCUGCACAUGACCCCCUCCUUGGGUUAGGCCUCUGAUCGGUGAUGACCUUGGUAUGGUGGUGAUGGUCAGUCUUGGCACCAAAUGAGCCAGUUUAUAUCAUCAGCUAUUCAAUAAAACACUAAUCUAGGUGUCACCAUGAAAGUAUUUUGUGACAUUGUUAUGUACGUGUUGUUACAAAUGU
This is a long non-coding RNA of Homo sapiens (human), 2412 nucleotides long. RefSeq annotates it as translation initiation factor IF-2. Lineage: Eukaryota; Metazoa; Chordata; Mammalia; Primates; Hominidae. The transcript has 7 exons. The record is from RefSeq and is a predicted model, not a curated record.